UACAGAGGGUGCGAGCGUUAAUCGGAAUUACUGGGCGUAAAGCGUGCGUAGGCGGUCACGUAAGUCGGAUGUGAAAGCCCCGGGCUCAACCUGGGAAUUGCAUUCGAGACUGCAUGGCUUGGGUGCGGAAGAGGGAAGCGGAAUUUCCGGUGUAGCGGUGAAAUGCGUAGAUAUCGGAAGGAACACCAGUGGCGAAAGCGGCUUCCUGGUCCGACACAGACGUUCAGGCACGAAAGCGUGGGGAGCAAACAGG
Molecule: ribosomal RNA, 253 nt
Filed under: uncultured bacterium
Lineage: Bacteria
Description: partial 16S ribosomal RNA
Rfam family: Bacterial small subunit ribosomal RNA
Source: RNAcentral